Molecule: ribosomal RNA, 253 nt
Filed under: uncultured bacterium
Lineage: Bacteria
Description: partial 16S ribosomal RNA
Rfam family: Bacterial small subunit ribosomal RNA
Source: RNAcentral
UACGUAGGGGGCGAGCGUUGUCCGGAAUCACUGGGCGUAAAGCGCACGUAGGCGGAUUGCUAAGUCAGGGGUGAAAUCCUGGAGCUCAACUCCAGAACUGCCUUUGAUACUGGUGAUCUUGAGUCCGGGAGAGGUGAGUGGAACUGCGAGUGUAGAGGUGAAAUUCGUAGAUAUUCGCAAGAACACCAGUGGCGAAGGCGGCUCACUGGCCCGGUACUGACGCUGAGGUGCGAAAGCGUGGGGAGCAAACAGG